Molecule: ribosomal RNA, 497 nt
Filed under: uncultured bacterium
Lineage: Bacteria
Description: partial 16S ribosomal RNA
Rfam family: Bacterial small subunit ribosomal RNA
Source: RNAcentral
GAUGAACGCUGGCGGCGUGCCUAAUACAUGCAAGUCGAGCGAACAGACGAGGAGCUUGCUCCUCUGACGUUAGCGGCGGACGGGUGAGUAACACGUGGAUAACCUACCUAUAAGACUGGGAUAACUUCGGGAAACCGGAGCUAGUACCGGAUAACAUGUUGAACCGCAUGGUUCAACAGUGAAAGACGGUUUUGCUGUCACUUAUAGAUGGAUCCGCGCCGCAUUAGCUAGUUGGUAAGGUAACGGCUUACCAAGGCAACGAUGCGUAGCCGACCUGAGAGGGUGAUCGGCCACACUGGAACUGAGACACGGUCCAGACUCCUACGGGAGGCAGCAGUAGGGAAUCUUCCGCAAUGGGCGAAAGCCUGACGGAGCAACGCCGCGUGAGUGAAGAAGGUCUUCGGAUCGUAAAACUCUGUUAUUAGGGAAGAACAAAUGUGUAAGUAACUAUGCACGUCUUGACGGUACCUAAUCAGAAAGCCACGGCUAACUACGUG